This 497-nucleotide ribosomal RNA is filed under the name uncultured bacterium. RNAcentral describes it as "partial 16S ribosomal RNA". It matches the Rfam family "Bacterial small subunit ribosomal RNA", at positions 28 to 507 of the family's 1533-position model. The record is from RNAcentral.
GAUGAACGCUGGCGGCGUGCCUAAUACAUGCAAGUCGAGCGAACAGACGAGGAGCUUGCUCCUCUGACGUUAGCGGCGGACGGGUGAGUAACACGUGGAUAACCUACCUAUAAGACUGGGAUAACUUCGGGAAACCGGAGCUAAUACCGGAUAAUAUAUUGAACCGCAUGGUUCAAUAGUGAAAGACGGUUUUGCUGUCACUUAUAGAUGGAUCCGCGCCGCAUUAGCUAGUUGGUAAGGUAACGGCUUACCAAGGCAACGAUGCGUAGCCGACCUGAGAGGGUGAUCGGCCACACUGGAACUGAGACACGGUCCAGACUCCUACGGGAGGCAGCAGUAGGGAAUCUUCCGCAAUGGGCGAAAGGUUGACGGAGCAACGCCGCGUGAGUGAUGAAGGUCUUCGGAUCGUAAAACUCUGUUAUUAGGGAAGAACAAAUGUGUAAGUAACUAUGCACGUCUUGACGGUACCUAAUCAGAAAGCCACGGCUAACUACGUG